AAAAAAAAAAAAAAAGAGAGUGGCCACUUGCAACCCAUCUGCAAAAAUGAACGUUGCUUUGUUCUUGUGCUCGCAGCUCUUCUUUUAUGUCAGAUACACAAAAGGCGAGUAAAUAACGAAAGCAACAUGUUCAUGUUCUUACAAUUAAAACGAAGCUCAACAACCAACAUGGGAACUUGGUUUGACCCUUCUAAAUGGCAUCACAUUCCAUUCGUAGUGGCCAAAUGGAACAGUGAAGCUCUUCUUUUAUGUCAGAUACACAAAAGGCGAAUAAAUAAAGAAAGCAACAUGUUCAUGUUCUUACGGUAAGCAAGCUUUCACUCUGUUCUUCUCCUUUUGUUUUCUUUUUUAAUAACAAUUCAGUCGAUUCGAUGCAAACAUUAAUAGAAUCCCCAUGGAUCUGACAGAUGCUUCUUUAUAUAAUAAUAUAGAAUCUUGAUUGUGGAUGGCGACCUGAUUAUUUUUUUUCUUGUUCUCGAUGCUGAUACGAUCUGAUGUAGCUUAAUAAAUUCUUAAUUAAACUAAUUGAACAGUGUUAGUGUAUGUUUAGAUUAAAACGAAGCUCAACAACCAGCAUGGGAACUUGGUUUGACCCUUCUAAUUUUGUUUCUGCUAUUUUUUUUUUUUUAUUCCAGAGUGAAUUAUGUUUAUCUAGGAUGAAGCAGAUCGAUUUUUUCUUUUGACACAGCAAUUUUUGUAUACAAAAUUUGCAAUUUUUGCAUACAAUUUGACAUAGCCAUCACCAAAUAUGAAGAGUAGAUUGUAAUUUCUUUGAA
Jatropha curcas is the source of this 776-nucleotide long non-coding RNA. RefSeq lists it as uncharacterized. The record is from RefSeq and is a predicted model, not a curated record. NCBI's taxonomy places the organism in Eukaryota, Viridiplantae, Streptophyta, Magnoliopsida, Malpighiales, Euphorbiaceae.